This is a long non-coding RNA of Hyaena hyaena (striped hyena), 490 nucleotides long. RefSeq lists it as uncharacterized. Lineage: Eukaryota; Metazoa; Chordata; Mammalia; Carnivora; Hyaenidae. The record is from RefSeq and is a predicted model, not a curated record. The transcript has 3 exons.
CACUCAGUGCAGUGUGCACUGUGUAUUACAGAGGAAGAAAGCUGAGGGAAGGAGGCUGAACAAGGAAGGUGUGAGAAUCUAGACAUCAUUUUAAAAAGGUUUCCAGAUGUAUAAAAAGCAAGAAGAAGUAAGAUGAACAACAUGUAUGAACUUUGACAUUAUAAAGCAGAGUCUGGGAGGCACAAAUGGCUGUGAAAAUCCCAGGGGCCACGUUCUGCAUUGAUGAUUGGCAGAGACAAGGAGCUACAAGCUACAUUCACUCAGAAAAGUGAUCCUUGCAGGAUUCCAGAUUUAAUUGUGUCAGCACAGAAGAGCAGUGGCUCCAAUGAACAUUGCUGUUACUGACAGUCUGCUCGAAAGACAUACAAACUAAAUCACAUCAACUGAAACCUGAUGUAUAGGCCUCGUAAGAAGAAAAGACACUUUCUACUUAUCUGAAAGGUGGGAAACACAAAUAUGGACACAUCAAGGAAAUGCAAUGUUGAGAAUU